Long non-coding RNA from Oreochromis aureus, 2492 nucleotides. RefSeq lists it as uncharacterized. The record is from RefSeq and is a predicted model, not a curated record. Lineage: Eukaryota; Metazoa; Chordata; Actinopteri; Cichliformes; Cichlidae. The transcript has 6 exons.
UUCCAAAUUUAUUUGUAAAUUUUUGUAAAUAUAUUGUCUUUAAAACAUCUUUGCAGACUGUCCUGGACUGUUUUUUUUUUUGUUUUUUUUUAGGUCUGGUGAACUCUAUCACCAGCUCUUUGGUGUUGGUGUUCAGGAGAAGAGCCUUCUAAUAAUAUUUAUUCAACUUAUAGAAUUAAAGUUCUGCUAGUUUUUUUCUGUAGCAAAUAAAUAUUGUAUAAAAUAUUUAAAAUUACCUACAUUUUCGAUGUUUAUAAUGCCCAUUGUGUGUAAUACUGGAAUUUCCUACUACCCGUGAACGCCUCAUCUUUUACCUGACUGGCUGACAUCUGCCUCUCUGCACACUUUGUUGAGUCCGCUCUCGAGUGAAAUAAAGCUUGGUUUUGCCUGUGCUGAUUGAUAAAACGACACAUCACCUUAAUAAAGACGGAAAUCUUUAAUAAGAGUGAAACAGAACUUCGGUUUUGCCUUUGCUGAGUGAACAGAUCUUUGGCUUUGCCUUUGCUGGUGACCUGCUGCAGAAGAUCCUCUCUCUCUAUCAUUAUAAGCAAUUCUGUCUAUCCUAUCACUCUCCCAACUCUAUCUAAUUUGACAGCCAUUCUAUCUUGUAUCCCUCUAUCCCUACUGCUCUAUCUAAUUUGACAGCCAUUCUAUCUUGUAUCCCUCUAUCUCUACUGCUCUAUCUAAUUUGACAGCCAUUCCAUCUUGUAUCCCUCUAUCUCUACUGCUCUAUCUAAUUUGACAGCCAUUCCAUCUUGUAUCCCUCUAUCCCUACUGCUCUAUCUAAUUUGACAGCCAUUCUAUCUUGUAUCCCUCUAUCUCUACUGCUCUAUCUAAUUUGACAGCCAUUCCAUCUUGUAUCCCUCUAUCUCUACUGCUCUAUCUAAUUUGAGAAUCCAAGUUUUCAGAAAUCCAAGUUUUCAGAAUCCAAGUUUUCAGAAAUCCAAGUUACCAGUACUUGAUCUAUCUGUUACAGAAUUCUGAGAGAUCUCUGCUCUCACUGCUCCUUCUUUCCUGUCAUUAAGCUCUCUCACAUUCAGUCAUUUUGCUGGAAAUUACAAGUUGAAUAUACAGUAGUAGAACUUAUAGUAGAAACUACUUACACAGCCCUACAUUUGUCAUUUUAAUUUUGCAUUAGACUUUAGUUUGGACUGUUAGUUUGGCUUACUUUGAUCAAUUGUAUAAAAUAUCACCUUUUUAUAAGUUUAUUUGUAAUAAGAUAAUCUGGUUAUUUUGUAAUACAUACAUUCAGAUAAAUAAUAAAUUAGAUCCAGUCUGUUAGUCUAUUUCAUUGGCUAUAACAUUUGACUGCAAGUUUAUAGUAUUAUUAUUUAAGGACAAACCCAUUUUGUCACUCACCUCAGCGCCUGAGGACCCAGACUUCCUGUUUUCUGACUGCUGCAGAAAAUCCAGCUGAAGAAUCCUCAUCGCCUGUCAUCUUAUCACCACACCACCAAAGCUCCAUAUAUUUGAUUUAAAUUUUAGAUAUCUGAAAGAUUUACAUAAACUCCCCUAAGAGCUAAGACUUUUAUUAUAGCCUGUUGAUUGUUGAGAUUUAUUCUGCAUAUCAUUUUACAGAAGUUGUAAUUAUUUACCAGUCUGGUUAAAAAAAUAUAAGUAAAAUUAUACAGUUUCUAAAAGAGCUACAAUAAAACGGACCAAAUUGUUUCCAGAGAACUUUGAAUUUCCUUUAUUUUGAGUUUGGAGUACAAAUCAGCUUAACGUCUAUUUAUAUAUUCAUAAAAACAUUUUAAAGUAGUAUAAUAGUACAUUUCUCAGAUUUAACAGUAACUUGAGGAGUUUUACGUUUUUCUGUGUUUCAAGGUUGAGUUUUGUUUACAUUUGUGUAUAACCACAUAUAAGCUCCAGGUUGUACUUCAGCAAAAUGCCAAGAAAAGGUCAAAGGUCGCAGUCCCAGAAGCUUAGACGUCAGAAGGAGAAAGAACAGGUGAAUGUUUCUCAGAGCAGUGAGCAGGUAAAGGUGUGUGUUUCAACUUUUCCCAGCACAGAAGUGCAGAGCAGUGUUCAGACAGCCACAGUGUCUUAUGCAGAUGUGGUAAAGAGAGGUGUUCCCUCAGUGUCUGUCCCAGAGCCUGAAGUUAUUCAGGUAAUCCAGACUGAACCCCAGGUUACUGAACAAACACAGCAUGAUGGAGAGACAGCCACAGUGUCUUAUGCAGAUGUGGUAAAGAGAGGUGUUCCCUCAGUGUCUAUCCCAGAGCCUGAAGUUAUGCAGGUAAUCCAGACUGAACCCAAGCUAACUGUACAAACACAGCAUGAUGGACAAGCUCCAGUACAGUCUCAUGUACAGGUUACAAACAGUGAAAGUCGUCCACGAGUGAGUAGUAUCUGUGCAUCCCGAAGCCAGGCCUCUCCUAAGUAUGGAAAGUACCGUAAUCAGCAAUGCAUGGCUAACAGUUUGAUUUUCCUGUCAUUCUUACACGAGGAUGAAUUCAUUACCAAAGCAGAUCUUAACCGUGUGUUGGACAAAG